RNAcentral lists this ribosomal RNA (454 nucleotides) under uncultured bacterium. RNAcentral describes it as "bacterial SSU rRNA". It matches the Rfam family "Bacterial small subunit ribosomal RNA", at positions 340 to 786 of the family's 1533-position model. The record is from RNAcentral.
UACGGAAGGCAGCAGUGGGGAAUAUUGCACAAUGGGCGCAAGCCUGAUGCAGCCAUGCCGCGUGUAUGAAGAAGGCCUUCGGGUUGUAAAGUACUUUCAGUCGUGAGGAAGGUGUUAAGGUUAAUAACCUUAGCAAUUGACGUUAGCGACAGAAGAAGCACCGGCUAACUCCGUGCCAGCAGCCGCGGUAAUACGGAGGGUGCGAGCGUUAAUCGGAAUUACUGGGCGUAAAGGGCACGCAGGCGGUUAAUUAAGUUGGAUGUGAAAUCCCCGGGCUUAACCUGGGAAUGGCAUUCAAGACUGGUUAGCUAGAGUCUUGUAGAGGGGGUUAGAAUUCCAUGUGUAGCGGUGAAAUGCGUAGAGAUGUGGAGGAAUACCGGUGGCGAAGGCGGCCCCUGGACAAAGACUGACGCUCAUGUGCGAAAGCGUGGGGAGCAAACAGGGAUUAGAUACC